Cygnus atratus (black swan) is the source of this 1325-nucleotide long non-coding RNA. RefSeq lists it as uncharacterized. The record is from RefSeq and is a predicted model, not a curated record. Lineage: Eukaryota; Metazoa; Chordata; Aves; Anseriformes; Anatidae. The transcript is spliced from 4 exons.
ACCACCUAAUGAGAGACGCCAGGUACAACAAAGGACCAGAGACUGUGCUUACAUGGAGUCCCUCUCUUUGGGAGGAGAUGAAAGAAAUUGCCUCUGGCAAAGGAAUGAAGUAAUUGCAGACAGAGGAGGAAGGAUGGCUACAUAGGAAAUUGAAGUUCAAGGGAGCUACAGAAGGAUGUUGUUCAUCUGAAAAGACGACAGAAGCAGAACUGGAAGAGGCAGAAUAUUGGUCUGGGGAAAGGAAGAAAGAAAUUAGAAGUUCAGCAAGAUGCCUCAAGCAUUUCAUCUUUGAACUCCAGUGGUUUCCUAUGAUCUGCUGCCUUCCAGAGCACGCAGAUUUCAAGAACGUCUGAAGUUCUGCCUAGCAACAGAGACAAAGCACAGACUGCUGCGAUUUAAACAUUUUCCUCUAUAUAUACUUCAUGAAGUUAUGCCGAUUUCUGGUGCUUGAUCUGCAGAGCUCCCAAAUGCAUCCACUGACACUUGACGUGCAGAACUUCCUGGAGUCUUUAACAAUGCUCCCAAAUGAGAAUACAGCCCAUGUCUGCAAGACCUAUCCCAAAGUCACAGACAACUUUUGGAUUUUAUCAGAUGUAUGAAAGCUAGGCCAUUAGUGAGCAAACUAGUGUCUGCAUUUUAAUGGAGAUUGUCUUUGAAAAAUUCGUUGACACCAUCAGGCAAAUGUCUGCGAGAGAUAUCUAUCUGUACCUGGAACUCACACCUUCUUCCUCAUCCCAUUUUCAUUCAGUCCAAAUAAGAGCAGCUCCACACAACCUUUUUAUUGGAUGCAGAGAACUCACUAAGAAGAUGCCCACUGGACAUUUCAAAAAUUAUACAAAGGCACUGUAGUUAGCUCAGACAAUCAAUAUUACUUUAUUACAACCCUUCUGUAUUUUCAGACAAAUCUACAAUCAGACGUCUAGGUCAUUUUUCCUCAGGUUUACAUUUUAAGGUGAAUCAAAAAGACGCAUUUUGUCAGUGAAGUUAUUAAUGCCAAAAGAAAAGGACAAAAGGAGGAACAGAUUUCUUUCCCAGACUGGAAAUGCAGCUUCACCUACUCUGAAACAGUACCCAGAGAAGCAUUUCAGGGCAGUCCCACAGCUGUUAGUAAAAGAAAAAAAUAAAUAAAUAAAAAUAAAAACACGUGCACACAAGUGUAGUAUCAAACCUUGAUCUUAGUUUUUCUUCAUCUUCUCCACAGUUACUUUGACAUCUGGCUUUGUUUGCUUGCAUCCUUUAUCGCAUCAUGAAUUACUAACUGACAUAGUCAUUUGACCAUGUAGAAAGUCUCAGAACAAUCUCUACAAGCUGGAUUUUUCAAAUUC